GUGGGGAAUCUUCCGCAAUGGACGAAAGUCUGACGGAGCGACGCCGCGUGAGUGAAGAAGGCCUUCGGGUCGUAAAGCUCUGUCAUCAGGGACGAACGGCCGGUGGAGUGGAAAGCCACCGGAUUGACGGUACCUGAGAAGGAAGCCACGGCUAACUACGUGCCAGCAGCCGCGGUAAUACGUAGGGUGCAAACGUUAUCCGGAUUUAUUGGGCGUAAAGAGCUCGUAGGCGGAAUUGUAAGUUGGAUAUUAAAGACCCAGGCUCAACUUGGGGAAAGUAUCCAAAAUUGCAAAUCUAGAGUGAUGCAGGGGAGAACGGAACUUACGGUGUAGCGGUGGAAUGCGUAGAUAUCGUAAGGAACGCCAAUGGUGAAGACAGUUCUCUGGGCAUUUUCUGACGCUGAGGAGCGAAAGCGUGGGUAGCGAUCGGGAUUAGAAACCCUUGUAGUCC
This 451-nucleotide ribosomal RNA is filed under the name uncultured bacterium. Its description in RNAcentral is "partial 16S ribosomal RNA". It matches the Rfam family "Bacterial small subunit ribosomal RNA", at positions 354 to 796 of the family's 1533-position model. The record is from RNAcentral.